Long non-coding RNA from Siniperca chuatsi (mandarin fish), 634 nucleotides. RefSeq lists it as uncharacterized. The transcript has 4 exons. The record is from RefSeq and is a predicted model, not a curated record. Lineage: Eukaryota; Metazoa; Chordata; Actinopteri; Centrarchiformes; Sinipercidae.
GCGGUCAUCUGUGGAGGCCAGGUAGUGUGUGUGUGUGUGGCAAGGCAGUGUGUGCCAUCAACAGCUCAAUCAACCAGCCAGUCAGUCUGCUAGCCAGCCAACCACUUCUGCUGUGCUUUAUUCUGUGGGCUCGUAUUAGAUCAGGAGGCAUCGUAAGCAUCAUGCAUGAUGUUUUUCACAUGCGGAUCUCGAUGUCCAGCUUGCGGAAAAGGAAGCCCUCAUGGUGUGCGGUGUGUGUUGGCGGCUGGGGGACUGCCGGGCUGCUCUGGGCCGGAGCGGACCUUGACCGCCGCGUCGUCUCUCCUGCCUCUUUGGGUCGUGGUCGGCGCCGUGGUUUGGGUCUGUCCCGAGCUCGAGGCCGGUCGGGACGGGAAGACUUCUCUGGUACCCCGUUAGGCAGGCGGGGAACCUCACCACGGGCCUGAGGGUUAUCAGGGAUCACUCUAAUCAGCAACCAGACUGACUUAUCUACCAGUAUUAUCCAAUUCACAUGUAAUGUGGCGGCGGCUUUGCGGAAGGCUUCAUGUCGACGAAUCAGCUGCUCCACCUCGUCUACACUCCCACCCAGCUCCUUGCUGUUGAUGAACGGCUCCUGAGCGGUCAACCAUGCCUCCGCCACUACCGCCUCCUGGGC